This 253-nucleotide ribosomal RNA is filed under the name uncultured bacterium. RNAcentral's name for it is "partial 16S ribosomal RNA". It matches the Rfam family "Bacterial small subunit ribosomal RNA", at positions 524 to 776 of the family's 1533-position model. The record is from RNAcentral.
UACGAAGGGGGCUAGCGUUGCUCGGAAUCACUGGGCGUAAAGGGUGCGUAGGCGGGUCUUUAAGUCAGGGGUGAAAUCCUGGAGCUCAACUCCAGAACUGCCUUUGAUACUGGCAAUCUCGAGUCCGGGAGAGGUGAGUGGAACUGCGAGUGUAGAGGUGAAAUUCGUAGAUAUUCGCAAGAACACCAGUGGCGAAGGCGGCUCACUGGCCCGGUACUGACGCUGAGGUGCGAAAGCGUGGGGAGCAGACAGG